ACCCACUGCACCCGGCGGCCGCUCGCCCGGAGCUGGGGACGCGCCUCCGGGUCUGGACCGGUUUUCAGGAAGCUGGUGAUCUCUCGCACCGCUUUUUAACCGCUUCUUCCAACUCCCAACUCCCUGGCCAAAGCAAGAGCAUGGUGCGGCCGCUCUGCUAGUGCCGGGUUCGUGCACACUCCCUGGGCCUCUUCCCCUUCCAGAUGCCCUAGUGGUUUGGGAUUGUGUCCAGGAGCCCGGGAUCUAGCCAGGAGCAGGAAGGUGGGAGCGACCUCAGUGAGGUUCCUGUCGUCCAGACACAGCAAAGCUAGGCGUGCGUGUGUCCAUGAAACUCACCUGGACCUCUGCAGCUGCUCCAAGGCGCUGGUGCUGCCGCCCUGGCCUGACUGCUCCAAGGCGCAGUAGUUCUGCGAGUUCUGCCUGGAGAAGGCGAUGGGCAGGAUUCCCUGAGUGAACGAGUUGAGGCGGCCCCGACUGCCGCUCGUACUCCCGGGGGUCCCGGAGCCCAAAAAGCUGGCCGAUGGCACCUGCACGUUGGUGAAGGCAUCGUCCUCCUCCAGCUCCUCCUGUCCGGCGCCUCCCGGCCCGUCAGGCAACUGCAGCUGAGCACCGGUGACAGCUGGAGCUGAACGGGGCGGCUGAGAUGGCUCUCCCAACACCCGGGGGACCAGAGACGGCGGCAGCGGGCAAGGGCUGGAACCCGAGCCGGCGGUCCACGGCGCGGCCGCGGUGCCCGGUGCCGAGAACGCGUUGCAGCCAGCGGCCAGCAGGCUGAGCCGAGCCCUUGCUCCGGGCUUGGUCCCGCCGCCCUCCUCGCCGCCGCCCCACUCGUGGUCCUGCAGCGGAGGCCGUCCGUCCAGAGAAAUGUUGGUGAGGAAGGACAGGGCAGCCUGGCGGCGCCGCGGGUCCAUGCGCGGCUUACGAAGAGGUUCCGGCGGCGCGGUGGCCGGAGGAGGCGGCGGCGGCUGCACCCCGCUGGUGGCCGCGGCGUCCGUGCUGCCGCCGCGACUGCUGCUGCUGCUGCUGCAGGCGGCCGUGCCCGCGGUGGCGGUCGCCGCCGCCAUUGUGUCCGUCUGGGGCGUCAGUUCCCCGGUACCCGAGAAGCGAGUGGCGGGUGCCGAGUGCUAAGCCGCGGCCGCGAGCCCCGGCGACCCGGGCUGGGCAGGGCGCGGGGCGCGGGCGGUGUGCGAGGCGGUCCUACCCUCCCGCGGGCGGGCCAUGCUCGGCCCUGGGCGUUCGGGCGCCGCUGAGAGCCACACGCGCCUGGCUCGCCCUCCGCGUCCCGGACCCACGCGCGCCUGGCCGACCCUCCGUGCCGCGCGAUCACGGGCUCCUGGCCGGCCGGUCGGUAUUUAUAAGUGCGCGCGCCCCGCGCUCGCGCUCCGGAGCGCUCUUUGCAAUAACACAGUAUCACGUGUGGGGAAUGAGACCUGGGAGGAAAACAAAGCCGCAGGCGGAGACCGCAGCGGCGGGAGGCGACCGCGCAGGAGGCGGUGAAAAAGGAGGAGGGAAGUAGAGCUCGGCGCGUGUCAGGGCGGGGGCUCACCGGGCCGGUCCCCACGGUUCCAGCUAUUCCUGGGGCACGCGGAAGCCAGGUGCUGGAGGCGAGCACGUCACCUCUGUACGUUCGAGCGGAGAACCGCGGGUGUCAGUAGAGCCGGAUGAGCCGCAGCCCAAGCUUGUGCUCGGGUAAGAGUUACGGGGCGAUCACCUGGAGCCUUUGCACCCGACCCAGUAACCAAAUUUGGUGUUACCCAUGGGCCUGGACACACCGGUUCUUGUUAACAGAUACACCUUCCUAUGUGGACAUCCCCACCGAAAGUGUUGCUAAUCACUGGGAUGUGACACCACUAUUUCGCAGACCCAGGGGGCGGCUGCCAAUAUAAAUGUAAAGGAGCCCACCUAGUUGCCUGGAUGUGUGAGCACCUUCUAAGUGGCCCAGCUGAUUAAUAUACACACCACUGGUGCUCUUAGCAAAGGACAGACGGCAUUUGCCCUGAAAAUGUAAUGGAUUUUCUGUGAAGAUCUGAGCAGGUUAGAAUAAUCUUACACUCAAAUGUCUGCAAGUCUUUUAUUCCUCUAUAAACGGGGAUUGAUAGACUCAUUUGUUUCGUCAACGUCUGUUUGGCCCCUGGUUUUAUGUUCCAGAAAGAUGGGUUCCUGCCUAGGGACACCGUGACUCUGGGUCUAGGAAGACCCACCCCACAACCCCAACAAAUGGUUUUAGGAAGAGCAACUGCGGGGCUACCCAGCCACUUUCCAAAGACCCCUGCUGAGUUCUCUAAGGCCUGGGCGACUUAUUAAAUACUGUAUGACACAAUUGUCGUCCUGAAUUUCUGCGACACCUAAGAAGCCUUACGAAGAAGGCUUCUCUAAGGGAGAAGCAAAGUGUUUAAGAUGAACGGAUUAAUUUAAUUAGAGGUUUAAAUUUAGCCUUGGAGCUAAUGGGUAAUUCUACAUCGAAAUUCCACUCCUUUUCAAGUUCAGCAGAGUAAAUUAUGUAGCUGAGAGCAAGUAUACACGGCUUGGAGAUGUGCAGCCAGCCCAGAGUCGGAGAUAGGCGGGGUUUGGGUUACAUGAACAGGGAUAAACAGGUCUCAUGGCUGUUUGUAUGAACCAUUGUUUAUAUUUAAUUUUGGGCCAUAUUUAGGCCUUAUGAAAAAGCAGAGGCCUGUCUGCAGCAGACUCACUAGUGACCAACUGAAUUUCAUCAGGUUUUAAAUACUUUAACUACUUUGAAACUUCAAGUCACUUUAUUACAAUUGACGUAAUUUACCUG
This 2779-nucleotide long non-coding RNA is filed under the name Mus musculus (house mouse). Its description in RNAcentral is "predicted gene 6277". The record is from RNAcentral. Lineage: Eukaryota; Metazoa; Chordata; Mammalia; Rodentia; Muridae.